This 543-nucleotide ribosomal RNA is filed under the name uncultured Methylibium sp. Its description in RNAcentral is "bacterial SSU rRNA". It matches the Rfam family "Bacterial small subunit ribosomal RNA", at positions 96 to 633 of the family's 1533-position model. The record is from RNAcentral. Lineage: Bacteria; Pseudomonadati; Pseudomonadota; Betaproteobacteria; Burkholderiales; Sphaerotilaceae.
UGGCGAACGGGUGAGUAACAUAUCGGAACGUGCCCAGUAAUGGGGGAUAGCCCGGCGAAAGCCGGAUUAAUACCGCAUACGACCUAAGGGUGAAAGCGGGGGACCUGCAAGGGCCUCGCGUUAUUGGAGCGGCCGAUAUCAGAUUAGCUAGUUGGUGGGGUAAAGGCCUACCAAGGCGACGAUCUGUAGCUGGUCUGAGAGGACGACCAGCCACACUGGGACUGAGACACGGCCCAGACUCCUACGGGAGGCAGCAGUGGGGAAUUUUGGACAAUGGGCGCAAGCCUGAUCCAGCCAUGCCGCGUGUGGGAAGAAGGCCUUCGGGUUGUAAACCACUUUUGUCAGGGAAGAAACGGUCUGGACUAAUAAUCUGGGCUAAUGACGGUACCCGAAGAAUAAGCACCGGCUAACUACGUGCCAGCAGCCGCGAUAAUACGUAGGGUGCAAGCGUUAAUCGGAAUUACUGGGCGUAAAGCGUACGCAGGCGGCUUUGCAAGACAGAUGUGAAAUCCCCGGGCUCAACCUGGGAACUGCAUUUGUGAC